ACGCUCGACACCUACGGGAGUCAGCAGUCGGGAAUAUUGCGCAAUGGAGGAAACUCUGACGCAGUGACGCCGCGUAUAGGAAGAAGGUUUUCGGAUUGUAAACUAUUGUCGUUAGGGAAGAGAAAGGACAGUACCUAAGGAGGAAGCUCCGGCUAACUACGUGCCAGCAGCCGAGGUAAUCUGAGCGGGCUGGCAAGGC
Molecule: ribosomal RNA, 199 nt
Filed under: uncultured bacterium
Lineage: Bacteria
Description: partial 16S ribosomal RNA
Rfam family: Bacterial small subunit ribosomal RNA
Source: RNAcentral